UUACAUAUUAAUUUAAGUUGUUGAUUUUUAAUAUUGGUGACUACUGCGGCAAGGAAAAACGUACGAAGUCCCAUCCAAUAAACAGAGAAGAUAGUAUCGCGAUCCAUUGAGAAAAGAAAGCCACGAUAAAGAAGAAUGGGUCAGUAUUCAAAAGCUGCUGAAAAAAUAUGGAAAAAGAACGAGUUCUUGGCAUACAAUGCUGACACGAGAAAUAUUCUAUUAAUUACAAAAAAAGGAUGCUAAAUGACAGCUGGGCCUUCAGUUUACAAAUUAUAAA
RNAcentral lists this long non-coding RNA (277 nucleotides) under Helicoverpa zea (corn earworm). RNAcentral describes it as "uncharacterized LOC124644997". The record is from RNAcentral. Lineage: Eukaryota; Metazoa; Arthropoda; Insecta; Lepidoptera; Noctuidae.